GCCGGGCGUGGUGGUGCAUGCCUGUAAUCCCAGCUACUCAGGAGGCUGAGGCAGGAGAAUCACUUGAACCCAGGAGGCAGAGGUUGCAGUGAGCUGACAUCGAGCCACGGCACUCCAGCCUGGGUGACAGAGGGAGACUCUGUCUCAA
Molecule: unclassified non-coding RNA, 148 nt
Organism: Pongo abelii (Sumatran orangutan)
Lineage: Eukaryota; Metazoa; Chordata; Mammalia; Primates; Hominidae
Rfam family: Metazoan signal recognition particle RNA
About the family: The signal recognition particle (SRP) is a universally conserved ribonucleoprotein. It is involved in the co-translational targeting of proteins to membranes.
Source: Ensembl